GGUCCGAUGCCACGUCGCUGGUAGCUAUAUAGCGGUGACCAUUGAUGCUAUGAUUGGACCAAAAACAAGAGUGAUAUUCAUUUGUUUCGCAUCCUGAUAGAGGAACCUGCGGAUCUCAUAUAUACCAUGAUCUGUGGAGCCGAUUUAUGCGAUUACAUUU
Molecule: small nucleolar RNA, 160 nt
Organism: Lotus japonicus
Lineage: Eukaryota; Viridiplantae; Streptophyta; Magnoliopsida; Fabales; Fabaceae
Product: small nucleolar RNA snoR2/U65
Exons: 1
Source: RefSeq, a predicted model, not a curated record